Molecule: ribosomal RNA, 245 nt
Filed under: uncultured bacterium
Lineage: Bacteria
Description: partial 16S ribosomal RNA
Rfam family: Bacterial small subunit ribosomal RNA
Source: RNAcentral
UACGGAGGUGGCUAGCGUUACUCGGAUUUACUGGGUGUAAAGGGUAUGUAGGCGGGCUUGCAAGUCAGGCGUGAAAGCCCUUGGCUCAACCAAGGAAUUGCGCUUGAAACUGCUUGUCUUGAGUGCGGGAGAGGGGAACGGAAUUCCCGGUGUAAGGGUGAAAUCUGUAGAGAUCGGGAGGAACACCAGUGGCGAAAGCGGUUCCCUGGUCCGUUACUGACGCUGAAAUACGAAAGCUUGGGGAG